ACUAUUAUACACAUACCUACAGGCUUACAAUAUGUGUAACUUGCGAGUUACGGGACCAUUAAAAUAAGAGGCGUUUAAGCAGCAACUCGUUUACCGGCUUAUAUAAUGACGGUUCGAACCAUCAAACGCUCUUUCCGACCGAGCAACUGCUAGUACAGAGUCGAGCGUGUCCUCAAAAAUUCGCUUGCUGGACGGGUAGAGGUAAUAAGAACACAGAAACUAUGCAGACUUGGGAAAAAAUCAUGAGCAAUAAGUUAUUUUCAAGAAUGCUCAAUACAACGGCCCUAAAAGAAGCCACGCUAAGAGGACUGAAAGGUCAAAGCUGUGAAACAUACGCCCCAUGCCCGAUCGAGGAGAGAUCAUUACCCAGGAUACUAAAGAACUUCGCAACUUUAACCAACUAUAAAUAAUAGAAAUAUAAAUUAAUUUAUAAAAA
Molecule: long non-coding RNA, 436 nt
Organism: Melitaea cinxia (Glanville fritillary)
Lineage: Eukaryota; Metazoa; Arthropoda; Insecta; Lepidoptera; Nymphalidae
Exons: 3
Source: RefSeq, a predicted model, not a curated record